RNAcentral lists this ribosomal RNA (433 nucleotides) under uncultured bacterium. RNAcentral describes it as "bacterial SSU rRNA". It matches the Rfam family "Bacterial small subunit ribosomal RNA", at positions 355 to 796 of the family's 1533-position model. The record is from RNAcentral.
UCGAGGAUCUUCGGCAAUGGGCGCAAGCCUGACCGAGCGACGCCGCGUGUGCGAUGAAGGCCUUCGGGUUGUAAAGCACUGUCGGGAGGAAGAAAAGCCGUAAGGCGUGAUCGACCUCCGGAGGAAGCACGGGCUAAGUUCGUGCCAGCAGCCGCGGUAAGACGAACCGUGCGAACGUUGUUCGGAAUCACUGGGCUUAAAGGGCGCGUAGGCGGGCUCGCCAGUCAGGGGUGAAAGCCCACGGCUCAACCGUGGAAGUGCCUUUGAUACUGCGAGUCUCGAGGGAGGUAGGGGCGUGCGGAACUUCCGGUGGAGCGGUGAAAUGCGUAGAUAUCGGAAGGAACACCGGUGGCGAAAGCGGCGCGCUGGACCUCUUCUGACGCUGAGGCGCGAAAGCCAGGGGAGCAAACGGGAUUAGAUACCCCUGUAGUCC